GGGGCCGACCUGGUUUCGACGGGGGUUACAAAGCAAGACAGGGCAUGUCGAGGCUCAGCUACCUCGUAAAUCCAACUGAAAACAACACAAACGCCAACGACGAGCGCUACGCUCUAGCUGCUUAAUU
This 127-nucleotide transfer-messenger RNA is filed under the name Rhodocyclaceae bacterium. Its description in RNAcentral is "partial transfer-messenger RNA". It matches the Rfam family "transfer-messenger RNA", at positions 1 to 130 of the family's 374-position model. Rfam says of the family: Bacterial tmRNA, also known as 10Sa RNA or SsrA, is named for its dual tRNA and mRNA-like properties. Its role is to liberate the mRNA from a stalled ribosome. Lineage: Bacteria; Pseudomonadati; Pseudomonadota; Betaproteobacteria; Rhodocyclales; Rhodocyclaceae. The record is from RNAcentral.